AAUGUUACGAAUUUCCGAGUGAGAUUAUCUAAGGCGAUGCUACGAUGACUUACCUCUGGGUAAAUGAAGAAAUUCUCUUGCCUCCCGAACUUGAAAAGGAAAUUUGCUUUACAUAAG
Molecule: regulatory RNA element, 117 nt
Organism: Alkaliphilus metalliredigens QYMF
Lineage: Bacteria; Bacillati; Bacillota; Clostridia; Peptostreptococcales; Natronincolaceae
Rfam family: Molybdenum/Tungsten riboswitch aptamer (Moco RNA motif)
Source: Rfam